Non-coding RNA from Oryza meridionalis, 129 nucleotides. The record is from Rfam. Lineage: Eukaryota; Viridiplantae; Streptophyta; Magnoliopsida; Poales; Poaceae.
GCAAUAAGAACCACUCAGGCUAGCCAAGGAGACUGCCCAUGAACCAGCUUAAAGGAUCAUUAAAUUGCUAAUCCUUCAGGGAGGACACAGGCAAGUCAUCCUUGGCUAUCAGAGAUAAGGUCCUUACUG